RNAcentral lists this long non-coding RNA (1493 nucleotides) under Carica papaya (papaya). Its description in RNAcentral is "long non-coding RNA (CPAP_LNC013828)". Lineage: Eukaryota; Viridiplantae; Streptophyta; Magnoliopsida; Brassicales; Caricaceae. The record is from RNAcentral.
UGAUUGUUACUGUUAAUGAACAUGAAUUGCACUGCCCAAGUGGUGUCAUUAAAUUUCCCUUCACUUGCAAUAUGGGGAAGGAGUGCAUUUUAUCCCCCGUUGCUUUACUUAUAGUAGUCUAAAAUUAGCAUCUGUUGAAGAAAUGAAAAACAACUGACACUGUUCUGUAACAAAUGAAUUCCAGAAAAAAUGUAGAAGUCAUUUGCAGACCAAGUUUUUAAAUAUAAAAUUAUUGGUUUGCAUAUGAAUUCUAUAACUGCUCAUUGAAUUCGUUUGUUAAAAUGUAGCUUGAACAUGUCAAUGCCAUAGGAGCUUUCAGAUGAGACAGCAGCUGAGCGAUGACUCCAAAAAGACCAAAACUAAUAUAUAACUAAUGAAUGGCACCAACAUAAAAUAAAAGGUCCAAAAGAUUGUUUCAUUUAGCGUGAGCUUAAGAUAUCAGAUUUACAUAUAUGGAGAACCUAUUUACCUUUUCUUUUAAGGAACAGGUGCAGAAAUUAUCAAUCCAAGGAAGAAAAAAGAAUUCUAAGGUUUUAAACAAAUGAUCAUACCCUCAGCAUAAAUAAUCUCAAGGUGAGCACGAUUGCAUCUCUUGAACUGCAAAGAUGGAAAUUGAGUUACAAGAAGAAUAAAAAGAUAUCAAAAUCAGUCACCAUGAAAUGACCACCUGUCUAAAAAUGAAGUUUAUGACUGGAAAGCAUGCAACUAUGGAACUGCAUACCCACCUAUAUAUGCAGGCGUGUCAACUUGUGUGUACUACACAUUUAUAUGAAUACAUGAAUAUAUCAGUUGAAAGUUAAUUAACAUGCAAAUUCUCCUUUACGACUUAAAAAACAUCAGUUCUACAGCAAAAGAAAAAAGGAAAAGUUAAAGAAGUAUCAAGCACAAAAGAAAAUCAUCAAUCAUCCAUGUUCACUGCUUUGCUAAAUUUAGUGGAAGUCUACAUCAAUCAGGUCAUCACGGAAUUAAAAUUUCAAGAUUUGCAGCUGACAAGUAGAAGAAGCUUCAAAACUUACCAUGUAAUAUCCGUUGAAUUAUUAUCAACGCGUAAGAGAUGUUCAAAACCAUUAGAACCAGUUAUUAGAAGCUCCGUUGCUUGCCCAUAUGGAAUUGUAACCUAAGGAAACAAAAAAAAGACAAAAAUAAAAUAUAGUGUGCGAACAGUUGGGGCACCACAAUAGCUAACGUAAGAAUAUAUUAGAUAAAUAUUUGCAAUAAAAGAAUUGAUGUAGGAUAAAGAGAACUUGAAGACAAUGCCUAAAGAUAAUUUAUUAAGAACAAAAGUUGAAAAUCUCGAAUCUCAACAAUCAAAUUGGUAAUUCAAUAGUUAGUUGUAUAAUAAUUACAGAAAUAUUCCAUCAACUACUAAACUAUGAUACCAAUUUAUAAACACCAAAAUAUAUUUAAUUCUAUGUAGCAAUUCUACUAGAAAAGAAAAUAGCUAAUUACCUCAUAUUAUAGUAUAAAGAACUAGAAAAGGAAAUUAAAUCUGC